This 1458-nucleotide long non-coding RNA is filed under the name Sorghum bicolor (sorghum). RNAcentral describes it as "long non-coding RNA (SBIC_LNC000001)". Lineage: Eukaryota; Viridiplantae; Streptophyta; Magnoliopsida; Poales; Poaceae. The record is from RNAcentral.
CCCCACAGGUAAAGAGUAUGAGUGGAGGGAAGUGAAGUUAUAGAAGUCUUUCUUCCUCUUCUGGUGAAGCUAGCUACUGUCGUUUCUAUUGGUUUCUCAAGAGGCUCAAGGUCUUGCUCUACCUAAUCCGAUCUAGUUCCGGUCUGUAAUGAUGGAUAGGAAGGGUUGAGAGAACUACGUAUCUCGCCUAGCAUUUGUGUGUGCGCACCUGCUUUUGGGCGGUUAGCGAAACGAAAGUAAAGACAGCUAUGUGUGAUGAAGUAAGCCCUACGAUGCUCGGUUAAGUAAAGACUGCUGUUAUCUCAUACAAAACAAGGACUCGGGAGAAGAACUAGUUAUCCCCAGAGGGGGAACUAUGAUUCUCUCAGAUGUGUCUAUCGAUAUAGAUCAAGUUGAGUGUUCAGCGAAGUAUGCUAGCCAUUGGCCUUACGUUCAGGAUACUCCUUCCUGUCCUUGCGAUGUUUGGUUAAGUGUUAUCAAUCAGCUUUCCUCUUCUUCCAGCAUUCUUCUAAGGUUUGCCUCUAACGAUGGUUGAAUAGCUCCUGUUGUUUGUCUCCACCUUCCUUCUCCCUGUAAGUUGUCCUCAUACUCCCAGUUCUUUCUCUUCUUUCUUUUCUUCCUCUACGACUUUACUAUAUUAUUCUUGAAUAAGCUAGUGAUUAUCUGAGGCUUACAGUAUGGUAUACCGAGGGCUAACUCCACAACUUCAGAUUGUUGAAUCGAAUAUACCUUCUAUAUACCUAGCUUAGAGUAUUGGAACCUGUUACGUCGAUUGCUGAACCUGACUUGACUUUGACGCGUUGGCUUUGGCUCUGGCUUUUCCUAUAUCUGAAUGUUUCGGAAGAGUCCGUGGCUAUCCUGCGCGAAAGAGGAAGAACUCAACUCUUUGCAAAAAAAGGAGCAUCGCUCUAAUCACUUAUGGUUGUUCCUUUCCAGGAUGGAUGGCUACUGCAUAUUAUCAUAUAGAAAUCAAAUGAAAACCCUACUGAAUUAGGCAAGCGAUUAUUCGCAUCGUUGCUUAGGUGCUCUAACAAGCCGCAAUUGGUUAGAGAUUGGAUCAAGUUCCAGGCUUUUUCAAAACUUCCAGCUUACUUAAUUGACUCGCAUGGGCUUUCUCGCUAUAAACGAACUAAACGAAGCGCCUAAAGAGAGAGAUCCGCGGGACACCAGUCAAUAAAGUAAAAAGAGAGUAUUCUCUUAUGUAGUCUUAUUCCUUCCCACCCCCUUGUGGGUGCUGCUCAAGCAGCUCAGGAGGCGCCAACCCCACAACCACAGGUAGAAGGAGUUCCAGGUGCGGCGUCCAGAUCAGGGACUAGUGGCCCGUCCUGUUCGGAUGUAAAGGAAAGAUGCAAAACUUUUAUCAAACAGUGGGGAAAGGGCCCCAUACGUCAAAGCCAGAUAAAGAAUCUCCAACAAGAUUCGAAAUUGGAUCGUUCAAGUCCAAAGGAUAGAGAAGAU